CAACACUUUGACAAGGUAAGUUAGCAGUAAUUAUUUGAGACUUGAUUAUCUGCCUGAGGUGAACUCUAAUUAGCUUUAUUUAUCUGUCCAUAUUGUACAAGUCCAAAGGAAUCUUGCUCGCUCCAACGGGGAAUUGCUUGACGAGAAGAAGCUGGAGACAAAUACAAAGACCAGGACCAUGAUGCAAUGGAUUUUUUUAAGGAGUGCCACUAUAUAGCAAAAAGAAUCAAGACUAUGCACUUGCUUUGUAGAAUGCUAUUGUAAUAUAUGUGAAGGUCGACAAGGACCUAUUUUUGCGUUUCAAGUUUUAUGUUGAUCAGAACAUCUUGUGUUAAUGUACUUACUGGAAAAA
Sorghum bicolor (sorghum) is the source of this 352-nucleotide long non-coding RNA. RefSeq lists it as uncharacterized. The record is from RefSeq and is a predicted model, not a curated record. The transcript is spliced from 2 exons. Lineage: Eukaryota; Viridiplantae; Streptophyta; Magnoliopsida; Poales; Poaceae.